This 506-nucleotide ribosomal RNA is filed under the name uncultured bacterium. RNAcentral describes it as "partial 16S ribosomal RNA". It matches the Rfam family "Bacterial small subunit ribosomal RNA", at positions 30 to 523 of the family's 1533-position model. The record is from RNAcentral.
AUUGAACGCUGGCGGCAGGCCUAACACAUGCAAGUCGAACGGCAGCACAGAAGAGCUUGCUCUUUGGGUGGCGAGUGGCGGACGGGUGAGUAAUGUCUGGGAAACUGCCCGAUGGAGGGGGAUAACUACUGGAAACGGUAGCCAAUACCGCAUAACGUCGCAAGACCAAAGUGGGGGACCUUCGGGCCUCACACCAUCGGAUGUGCCCAGAUGGGAUUAGCUAGUAGGUGGGGUAAUGGCUCACCUAGGCGACGAUCCCUAGCUGGUCUGAGAGGAUGACCAGCCAAACUGGAACUGAGACACGGUCCAGACUCCUACGGGAGGCAGCAGUGGGGAAUAUUGCACAAUGGGCGCAAGCCUGAUGCAGCCAUGCCGCGUGUAUGAAGAAGGCCUUCGGGUUGUAAAGUACUUUCAGCGGGGAGGAAGGCGGUGAGGUUAAUAACCUUGCCGAUUGACGUUACCCGCAGAAGAAGCACCGGCUAACUCCGUGCCAGCCGCCGCGGUAA